Molecule: non-coding RNA, 2697 nt
Organism: Zonotrichia albicollis (white-throated sparrow)
Lineage: Eukaryota; Metazoa; Chordata; Aves; Passeriformes; Passerellidae
Source: RefSeq, a predicted model, not a curated record
UGUCGCGCACGGCGGGCUGUGGGCAUGGCGGGGAGCGCUGCCCUCCGCGCACGGACCCGCCGCUCUGCCAUCGCACCCGAUCGGAGUUCAGGUGACUGCCUGCUUCUUGUGUUCUGGCUGUGCUGUGCCAGGUCAUCCGCGCAGUGGUGCCACUGGAGCUGCGGUGCCCUAUGCCACUUGCUGAGCUGGUGACACUGCCUGCCAGGGUUGUUUUUUCUGGGGCAACAUUUUCCCCCAUGGCUGUCCAUCCCUUUCUUGUUCUACUCAGAAGUGUUUUCCUAAAAGAUAUCACCAUUUAAGUUCCCCGUGUUGGAAUCCAUUGUCUGUAGAGAAAACGCUUGAGGUUUGCAGUACUACCUGACAUCAUACCUGAACUGUGUCCUAGUAUAGUUUCUCUGGGUGUGGAAAAAAAUCAAUGCUUGGAGCCACUGUACACUGAUUUACAGGAAGAUUCGGGAUAUCAAUAUUGCAACCAACAUGGAUGUGUAUGCAUUGUGGUUGUAUUGUCAUUGUACCUGCAUUUUCUCCAAAAGCUUACAUCACAUCAGAAAUUCCUGCGCAUUCAAAGCUUCUACAUAAAUGUAACAUAAAGAAUGGAGGGAUUCUGAUGAAUAUAACUGCCUUCUUGAACAUGUGUCAAGCCAUGGCUGUAGAGAAUGGAAGAGUGAGUUUGUAUACAGAGUUCAUGAUUUUUCUCCUUUGUAAAAGCAAGAGCAACUGGAAAAAAGGUGUAAGUUUUAAAAUUCACAUGGCUCAAGUGCCUUACUCUAGGAGUUGGAGGAAAGAACCUCUUAGCUGUACUGCUACCACUUACGUGUAUUUAAAAAUAGACAGCACAAAGACUGUGUAUACUUCAUGUGUCUUGCAGUGUGAAUACAACUUUGAUGGUUUAUGCCAUGUCCAAAACAAAAAGAGAUCCUGUACCUUCUUGUCUAACAAAAGGUUUACUUGAGAGGGGCAAAAGCUCAGCUGAAAUUGAGACGUGUUGCUUCCCCUUCUCUAAUUCAGCUCAGAGUAUAUCAAUUCCCAGAUAAAAUUUUUCAGACAAUUAAAAAGGGAUCCUUCAGUAAAACUGUAUUUUUUACAGAUACAGUAUGUGAGGAGGAAUAUUUUCCCCAACAUUUUCUUUCUCCAGUGUCAUUUUUAUGUGGCUAUCAUGUAGAUAACAGCAGGGAAUUCCACUUAAGGAGAUCCUUAAUGGAUUUAACUAAUGGUUUCUUUGUGAUGCUCUCAGACAGUUCUCCUGUAAUGUGGAUCCUCUAAAUAUUUAAAUCCACCAUUGAAGCAUUUAAUAGGAAGAAAGUCUCCUACCAUUAGAAUAAAGAAAAGGCUUUCAUCUGGAAACAAUACCAAAACAAAAUCUGAUUUGUACAACUGCACCAAGAAUCCAAGCCCACUUACUCUGUGAGGCAGCUGGUACAACAAGGACCUAGGGUGCCAGGUAAACAAUAACCAGUCAUUUGUAUAUUCAGACAAUAUCUGUCCUUCGUCCAUAUUUUCGAGAGCUAUUUGUAUUGAUUGUUGGUUUGACUGAUCAAUUAAACUGAUAAGAUAAUACUGCUACUUACUGUUGGUACAGGGAGACUGCCUAACCCAUGGGCUUGUGGAAUCUUGAAAAUAGUGGAUCGGUUACCCUGGGGUGCUUCUCCUUGUUUUGUCUUCUGACACUGUUUCAAAGUGAUCUUUUUUACUGUUCUAUCCAUUAUCCUCCUUUUCUGUUUUUCUUACAAGUGGAGCCUAAUGUUUGUCGAGUUCCAUAAAAUAUUUGAGCUGGAAGGAAAAACCUUUUAGAAAUCUACUUACUGUACUGUCAAGACCCAGUUUUUUUCUCUACUGUCGCUUGCUUGGGAAGAACAGUCACUUCAGAAACUAACACUGGUCCUUAAGCUGUCUGCUUAGUGCUGGAUUUUACCAUGUUUCCCUUGCACAAAGAAGAAAAUCUACUGUUUCAAUCUAGAUUGUUUCUGAAAAUGAUAAAUAAUAGAGAAACAAAAGCUCCCCAUAGCUUCCAUUCAAUCGAACAAAACCAUAGAGGUGCAGUUGCCCCACAGGUGCUUUUGUGCUAUAUAAAAUACAUCCCUACCUUUUGAAUACAUAGAACUCCUUGAAAAGAAUAAAUAUCACUUUCAGCUAAGUAAAUCUGUUUAUUUUGUUCUGCACAGUUUGGACAGGGACAUUUAUUUCUGCAGAUGAUAUUAAUACAUUUGUAGGAUUUUUCUGCAAUCUCUUGACAAUCUGUGCUGUCUAAAUCCACUUGUAACCUGUUCCAUAUCUGGCCCUUAAAUAUAGACACUUCAAAAAUCUUAUUCUCUGAUAUUUCUGUGAUGCAAUUAUUUUCUGCAUUUCCGUCACUUGGUAUUGUUACGCAUAUGAGCACAUAGAGCCUUUCUGAAUUCUUGUGUGCACAACCAUGGUAUAAAUUAUACACAAUAUAAGCGGUAAAGUUUCUCACUUGCUGUGGAAGCUGGCCUUCCAGAAAGGGCACACUGGACCAAGUUGCCGAGAAUGGCACCCUCAUUUGGCUCUAAUGGGGAGUUUCUCUGAGAAAAUGAGCAGGCACACUUAGAUUUUCCUUCUUGUUGUAUCUCAGCAUCGUUAGCGAUAAUGCAGAACUAUCAGUAUGUUCCUCUCACGCUUGUACUUUAUGUUGCAUGGAUACACUCAAAGGCUCGAAUUAAAGGCUUUCUUGCUAUCCUA